Pelobates cultripes (western spadefoot toad) is the source of this 109-nucleotide non-coding RNA. NCBI's taxonomy places the organism in Eukaryota, Metazoa, Chordata, Amphibia, Anura, Pelobatidae. The record is from the annotation of a GenBank genome assembly.
GCCUGUGACUGUGUGUGUGUGAAUGUCUGCCUGUGACUAUCUGUGACUGUGUGUGACAUUCACACACACAGUCACAGAUAUCACAGGCAGACAGUCACACACACACACA